UACCUGGUUGAUCCUGCCAGUANUCAUA
This 28-nucleotide ribosomal RNA is filed under the name Koeleria capensis. RNAcentral's name for it is "partial 18S ribosomal RNA". Lineage: Eukaryota; Viridiplantae; Streptophyta; Magnoliopsida; Poales; Poaceae. The record is from RNAcentral.